UCAGUACAGAAAACAAUGCUUGUCCACAAUUUGGUCUAUAUUUUUUUUUCCAAGUUCAUAUAAUUUUCAGGGCUAGUGUGGAAUUUUCUCACUGGAAUUGUUCGCCUUCAUUUUAUACAUAGUUCUAUCCUGAGCCUGAAGUAAAAAAGGAAGAAACCAGAGAGGGUGUAAGGGCAACAAGAGGGAAGCCAGGCAGGCAUUUAUACUUAAGUCUUCCAAAGUGCAACAACUGGAAAAUAAAAGGAUUUACGGGAUGCAGGCUUCUGCUUCUCCUUACCACAGCCACUAUAUCCUGACAGAGGAAAAUCUCUACAUUUAUUGAGAAAAUACUGCUUAAACUCCAGCUCUCAGAAUGGAUUCUAUCCUUGUAUGGAAAAGCCGUGGUGACUUCAGGCUAAGGUCUGAUAAUACUAAGGGCAUCACCCCAGAUUACAACAGUCUGUUAUCUCUGUGCACUGUCUAGCACUGAUGUUUGAGAUUUCCACAGACCUGAACAAGGAAACACACAUUUAUCACAUCCCCAGGAUAAGCCUCAGAUCUGCACCUUUCGUGUAAUAUGGAUAGUAUGGUAAGAUGCAAAAUAAAAAGCUGAAGAAAGCCCAAUGUCUCCCAAAUAUAAGUCCUUUGUGCAGAGUCAAAAUCCAGCAAAGAGGAAAACAUUCAAGUCGAUAACAGGAC
Molecule: long non-coding RNA, 678 nt
Filed under: Fukomys damarensis (Damara mole-rat)
Lineage: Eukaryota; Metazoa; Chordata; Mammalia; Rodentia; Bathyergidae
Description: lncRNA (ENSFDAG00000031713.1)
Source: RNAcentral